Molecule: long non-coding RNA, 209 nt
Organism: Varanus komodoensis (Komodo dragon)
Lineage: Eukaryota; Metazoa; Chordata; Lepidosauria; Squamata; Varanidae
Exons: 2
Source: RefSeq, a predicted model, not a curated record
UUAUCUUUGAACACCCUCACCAAUGGGGCCUCAACGACUUCCUGUGGAAGCCCAUUUCAUACCCUUGGGGUCCUAACUGUCAGGAAGUGCUUCCUGGCAUCUAAAUGGAACCUUGGCUCCCUGAGCUUUGCUCCGUUGGAGCGUGUCUGCCCUCCUCUGCAGGGGAGAACAGGUCUCUACCCAUCUCCAUGUGACAUCCCCUCACAAAC